Molecule: ribosomal RNA, 455 nt
Filed under: uncultured bacterium
Lineage: Bacteria
Description: bacterial SSU rRNA
Rfam family: Bacterial small subunit ribosomal RNA
Source: RNAcentral
UACGGAAGGCAGCAGUGGGGAAUAUUGCACAAUGGGCGAAAGCCUGAUGCAGCUAUGCCGCGUGUAUGAAGAGGGCCUUAGGGUUGUAAAGUACUUUCAUCGGGGAGGAAAAACAAAACUAAUAAUUUUAUUUCUUGACGUUACCCGAAAAAGAAGCACCGGCUAACUCCGUGCCAGCAGCCGCGGUAAUACGGAGGGUGCUAGCGUUAAUCAGAAUUACUGGGCGUAAAGAGCACGUAGGUGGUUUUUUUAAGUCAGAUGUGAAAUCCCUGGGCUUAACCUAGGAACUGCAUUUUGAAACUGAAAUACUAGAGUAUCGUAGAGGGAGGUAGAAUUCUAGGUGUAGCGGUGAAAUGCGUAGAUAUCUGGAGGAAUACCUGUGGCGAAAGCGGCCUCCUAAACGAAUACUGACACUGAGGUGCGAAAGCGUGGGGAGCAAACAGGGAUUAGAUACC